UAUUGUAGUCUUAUUGUAGUCUAUGGUGUUUAUACGGAAUAUUUGUCCUUUAUUUAUAUAAUUGGAUUAUCAACAGAUGCAGUACACCCAGGAACAAGCACAAACCUGAUGAACAAAUGGAAAUGAGAAGACAACUUAUGGAGACACGCAAGCAUAACCUGCCGGAGAUUUGUCUUAAUCUCAUCCUGUGCAGAACAACAAAUGGCAGCAAUUGAAGUUGAACAGACUAAUGGAGCUUCUUCAUUGCUGUUUAAUGUGAUGUUUUUGUUGCAGGCAGAUGUUAAAAGAUUUGAAGCACUUUUAACUGAAACUCACAAAGACUAAAGUACACAUAGAAUAACUAAGAAUGAACAAGAAUUUUUAUUUUGGAGGAACUCGCCAAACUCGAAAAUGCAAACACUGAAGUUUGCUAUGUUUAUUGGGCCUGUUAUCUCAAAGAUUCAUUAACAUCCUUGUAUCCGCAAAUUGGAGUGACAUGCGAUGUACGCAUGCAUCUAGAAUCACCGUCCGAAUUCUUCAACCAUAAAGGGGACAAAUCUACGUACCUCAACACUUCCUUAAUAAUCAAUGAAGGC
Molecule: long non-coding RNA, 575 nt
Filed under: Daphnia pulicaria
Lineage: Eukaryota; Metazoa; Arthropoda; Branchiopoda; Diplostraca; Daphniidae
Description: uncharacterized LOC124320478, transcript variant X1
Source: RNAcentral